GACGAACGCUGGCGGCGUGCUUAACACAUGCAGGUCGAACGGAAAGGCCCUGCUUUUGUGGGGUGCUCGAGUGGCGAACGGGUGAGUAACACGUGAGUAACCUGCCCUUGACUUUGGGAUAACUUCAGGAAACUGGGGCUAAUACCGGAUAGGAGCUCCUGCUGCAUGGUGGGGGGUGGAAAGUUUCGGCGGUUGGGGAUGGACUCGCGGCUUAUCAGCUUGUUGGUGGGGUAGUGGCUUACCAAGGCUUUGACGGGUAGCCGGCCUGAGAGGGUGACCGGCCACAUUGGGACUGAGAUACGGCCCAGACUCCUACGGGAGGCAGCAGUGGGGAAUAUUGCACAAUGGGCGGAAGCCUGAUGCAGCAACGCCGCGUGCGGGAUGACGGCCUUCGGGUUGUAAACCGCUUUCGCCUGUGACGAAGCGUGAGUGACGGUAAUGGGUAAAGAAGCACCGGCUAACUACGUG
Molecule: ribosomal RNA, 468 nt
Filed under: uncultured bacterium
Lineage: Bacteria
Description: partial 16S ribosomal RNA
Rfam family: Bacterial small subunit ribosomal RNA
Source: RNAcentral